RNAcentral lists this ribosomal RNA (582 nucleotides) under uncultured bacterium. RNAcentral's name for it is "bacterial SSU rRNA". It matches the Rfam family "Bacterial small subunit ribosomal RNA", at positions 102 to 670 of the family's 1533-position model. The record is from RNAcentral.
ACGGGUGAGUAACACGUGGGCAACCUGCCCUUGAGCCUGGGAUAACUUCGGGAAACCGGAGCUAAUACCGGAUAAUAUAAGGAACCUCCUGGUUCCUUAUUGAAAGAUGGUUUCGGCUAUCACUUAAGGAUGGGCCCGCGGCGCAUUAGCUAGUUGGUGAGGUAACGGCUCACCAAGGCGACGAUGCGUAGCCGACCUGAGAGGGUGAUCGGCCACACUGGGACUGAGACACGGCCCAGACUCCUACGGGAGGCAGCAGUAGGGAAUCUUCCACAAUGGACGAAAGUCUGAUGGAGCAACGCCGCGUGAGUGAUGAAGGCCUUCGGGUCGUAAAGCUCUGUUGUUAGGGAAGAACAAGUGCGAGAGUAACUGCUCGCACCUUGACGGUACCUAACCAGAAAGCCACGGCUAACUACGUGCCAGCAGCCGCGGUAAUACGUAGGUGGCAAGCGUUAUCCGGAAUUAUUGGGCGUAAAGCGCGCGCAGGUGGUUUCUUAAGUCUGAUGUGAAAGCCCACGGCUCAACCGUGGAGGGUCAUUGGAAACUGGGGAACUUGAGUGCAGAAGAGGAAAGUGGAAUUCC